UGGUCAAUGGGCGCGAGCCUGAACCAGCCAAGUCGCGUGAGGGAUGAAGGUUCUAUGGAUCGUAAACCUCUUUUAUAAGGGAAUAAAGUGCGGGACGUGUCCCGUUUUGUAUGUACCUUAUGAAUAAGGAUCGGCUAACUCCGUGCCAGCAGCCGCGGUAAUACGGAGGAUCCGAGCGUUAUCCGGAUUUAUUGGGUUUAAAGGGUGCGUAGGCGGCCUUUUAAGUCAGCGGUGAAAGUCUGUGGCUCAACCAUAGAAUUGCCGUUGAAACUGGGGGGCUUGAGUAUGUUUGAGGCAGGCGGAAUGCGUGGUGUAGCGGUGAAAUGCAUAGAUAUCACGCAGAACCCCGAUUGCGAAGGCAGCCUGCCAAGCCAUUACUGACGCUGAUGCACGAAAGCGUGGGGAUCAAACAGGAUUAGAUACCCUGGUAGUCCACGCAGUAAACGAUGAUCACUAGCUGUUUGCGAUACACUGUAAGCGGCACAGCGAAAGCGUUAAGUGAUCCACCUGGGGAGUACGCCGGCAACGGUGAAACUCAAAGGAAUUGACGGGGGCCCGCACAAGCGGAGGAACAUGUGGUUUAAUUCGAUGAUACGCGAGGAACCUUACCCGGGUUUGAACGCAUUCGGACCGAGGUGGAAACACCUUUUCUAGCAAUAGCCGUUUGCGAGGUGCUGCAUGGUUGUCGUCAGCUCGUGCCGUGAGGUGUCGGCUUAAGUGCCAUAACGAGCGCAACCCUUGCCACUAGUUACUAACAGGUAAAGCUGAGGACUCUGGUGGGACUGCCAGCGUAAGCUGCGAGGAAGGCGGGGAUGACGUCAAAUCAGCACGGCCCUUACAUCCGGGGCGACACACGUGUUACAAUGGCGUGGACAAAGGGAAGCCACCUGGCGACAGGGAGCGAAUCCCCAAACCACGUCUCAGUUCGGAUCGGAGUCUGCAACCCGACUCCGUGAAGCUGGAUUCGCUAGUAAUCGCGCAUCAGCCAUGGCGCGGUGAAUACGUUCCCGGGCCUUGUACACACCGCCCGUCAAGCCAUGGGAGCCGGGGGUACCUGAAGUCCGUAACCGCGAGGAUCGGCCUAGGGUAAAACUGGUGACUGGGGCUAAGUCGUAACAAGGUAGCCGUACCGGAAGGUGCGGCUG
This 1145-nucleotide ribosomal RNA is filed under the name human gut metagenome. Its description in RNAcentral is "bacterial SSU rRNA". It matches the Rfam family "Bacterial small subunit ribosomal RNA", at positions 365 to 1520 of the family's 1533-position model. The record is from RNAcentral.